Molecule: ribosomal RNA, 484 nt
Filed under: uncultured bacterium
Lineage: Bacteria
Description: partial 16S ribosomal RNA
Rfam family: Bacterial small subunit ribosomal RNA
Source: RNAcentral
AUUGAACGCUGGCGGCAGGCCUAACACAUGCAAGUCGAGCGGAUGAAGGGAGCUUGCUCCUGGAUUCAGCGGCGGACGGGUGAGUAAUGCCUAUGAAUCUGCCUGGUAGUGGGGGAUAACGUCCGGAAACGGGCGCUUAUACCGCAUACGUCCUGAGGGCGCAAGUGGGGGAUCUUCGGACCUCACGCUAUCAGAUUAGCCUAGGUCGGAUUAGCUAGUUGGUGGGGUAAAGGCCUACCAAGGCGACGAUCCGUAACUGGUCUGAGAGGAUGAUCAGUCACACUGGAUCUGAGACACGGCCCAGACUCUGACAGGGGGCCGCAGUGGGGAAUAUUGGGCAAUGGGCGAAAGCCUGAUCCAGCCAUGCCGCGUGUGUGAAGAAGGUCUUCGGAUUGUAAAGCACUUUAAGUUGGGAGGUAGGGCAGUAAGUUAAUACCUUGCUGUUUUGACGGUACCAACAGAAUAAGCACCGGCUAACUUCGUG